MicroRNA precursor from Anolis carolinensis (green anole), 87 nucleotides. NCBI's taxonomy places the organism in Eukaryota, Metazoa, Chordata, Lepidosauria, Squamata, Anolidae. The record is from Ensembl.
GUUGUCAGGACUCGAGGAGUGAAGGCCAUGGGAAAAUCUGGCAUAUUACAAUGUUCCCAUGGCCUUUACUCCUUUAAUCCUGACAAC